Molecule: ribosomal RNA, 377 nt
Filed under: uncultured bacterium
Lineage: Bacteria
Description: bacterial SSU rRNA
Rfam family: Bacterial small subunit ribosomal RNA
Source: RNAcentral
AUACGUAGGGGGCGAGCGUUGUCCGGAAUUAUUGGGCGUAAAGGGCGCGCAGGCGGCCGAUUAAGUCGGAUGUGAAAGGCCACGGCUCAACCGUGGAGUUGCAUCCGAAACUGGUUGGCUUGAGUGCAGGAGAGGAGAGCGGAAUUCCCGGUGUAGCGGUGAAAUGCGUAGAGAUCGGGAGGAACACCAGUGGCGAAGGCGGCUCUCUGGCCUGUUACUGACGCUGAGGCGCGAAAGCGUGGGUAGCGAACAGGAUUAGAUACCCUGGUAGUCCACGCCGUAAACGAUGAGUGCUAGGUGUUGGGGGAUUUCAUGCCCUCUGUGCCGAAGGCAACCCAAUAAGCACUCCGCCUGGGGAGUACGGCCGCAAGGCUGAA